AUUGAACGCUAGCGGGAUGCUUAACACAUGCAAGUCGAACGAGUGGCGGACGGGUGAGUAAUAUAUUGGAACGUGCCCAGUAGCGGGGGAUAACUACUCGAAAGAGUGGCUAAUACCGCAUACCAUUCGAGCUGCCGAUAUGGGAUUAGCUAGUUGGUGGGGUAACGGCUCACAAAGGCAACGAUCCGUAGCUGGUGUGAGAGGAUGACCAGCCACACUGGAACUGAGACACGGCCCAGACUCCUACGGGAGGAAGCAGUGGGGAAUCUUUGGCAAUGGGCGAAAGCCUGAUCCAGCCAUGCCGCGUGUAUGAGAAGGCCUUCGGGUUGUAAAGUACUUUUGGCAGAGAAGCGGUAUCUGCAGAAUAAGCACCGGCUAACUACGUGCCAGCCGCCGCGGUAAUAC
This 405-nucleotide ribosomal RNA is filed under the name uncultured bacterium. Its description in RNAcentral is "partial 16S ribosomal RNA". It matches the Rfam family "Bacterial small subunit ribosomal RNA", at positions 30 to 526 of the family's 1533-position model. The record is from RNAcentral.